This 253-nucleotide unclassified non-coding RNA is filed under the name uncultured Acidobacteriota bacterium. RNAcentral describes it as "uncultured Acidobacteria bacterium contains 16S-23S intergenic spacer region". It matches the Rfam family "Bacterial small subunit ribosomal RNA", at positions 524 to 776 of the family's 1533-position model. The record is from RNAcentral. Lineage: Bacteria; Pseudomonadati; Acidobacteriota.
UACAGAGGUGGCAAGCGUUGUUCGGAAUUACUGGGCGUAAAGGGCGCGUAGGCGGCCUCGUAAGUCCUUUGUGAAAUCCCCCGGCUCAACUGGGGAACUGCACAGGAUACUGCAAGGCUCGAGUUCGGGAGAGGGAAGCGGAAUUCCGGGUGUAGCGGUGAGAUGCGUAGAUAUCCGGAGGAACACCAGUGGCGAAGGCGGCUUCCUGGACCGACACUGACGCUGAGGCGCGAAAGCUAGGGUAGCAAACGGG